UACGGAGGGUGCAAGCGUUAAUCGGAAUUACUGGGCGUAAAGCGCACGCAGGCGGCUUUUUAAGUCGGAUGUGAAAGCCCCGGGCUCAACCUGGGAAUUGCAUUCGAUACUGGGAAGCUAGAGUAUGUGAGAGGGGGGUAGAAUUCCAAGUGUAGCGGUGAAAUGCGUAGAGAUUUGGAGGAAUACCAGUGGCGAAGGCGGCCCCCUGGCACACUACUGACGCUCAGGUGCGAAAGCGUGGGGAGCAAACAGGAUUAGAUACCCUGGUAGUCCACGCCGUAAACGAUGUCUACUAGAUGUUCGAGGUCUUGUACUUUGAGUAUCGCAGCUAACGCAUUAAGUAGACCGCCUGGGGAGUACGGUCGCAAGAUUAAA
RNAcentral lists this ribosomal RNA (375 nucleotides) under uncultured bacterium. RNAcentral describes it as "bacterial SSU rRNA". It matches the Rfam family "Bacterial small subunit ribosomal RNA", at positions 524 to 898 of the family's 1533-position model. The record is from RNAcentral.